Molecule: long non-coding RNA, 2443 nt
Filed under: Nicotiana benthamiana
Lineage: Eukaryota; Viridiplantae; Streptophyta; Magnoliopsida; Solanales; Solanaceae
Description: long non-coding RNA (NBEN_LNC011899)
Source: RNAcentral
UGGAAUUGCCAACCUUGUGCAUCAAAGUUCAGGGGGUGCUCAAGGCUCCAAGAGCAAUGCUUAUACUAAGGGGGCAGAACCUAAUUUCUAUGAGUAGUGAGAUUGUGAUAAAGUUUGAGAGAGAUGAAAACAGUUGAGAGACAGUUUGAGAAUACAUUUGAAAGAAUUGAGAGAGUUUAAGAAAACAGUUGGAAGAGUUGCAAGAGUUCUUUUGAAUUCAUUUAGACAGACUGGUUUUAAAACAACAGAGCAUCACACAAAUAAGGUCAAAUGGGAAGGGAACAAAUAAGCAAAGUAAACUACUCACAUAUGCAACACAUUUGAAGAAAGUAACCAGACAUAGUUGCAAAGCAAGAGUUCAGUUCUUACUGUACCAAAUUCUAAUACACUUAGCCUCAGAAAGAGGAUUUAGGUUAACCAAGUAGCCAAACUGACAUGGAUGCAUGGUAGUAGUACACAAGGAAAAAGUAAACAUUCAUUGAGACAUGAGGGGGUAAGGGAGCAUGUUAAGCUGAACCAAAUAGACUAGUAAUUAACAUGCUAGUGACAAUAAGAGCAACAAAACCAUAAGUAAAAGCACACAAGAAACAUUAUGAAAUGCAAAAUCAAUAGAAACAUGUUGUUGUGGAAACUAUAUUUUAAAGGGAUGAAAUACCAUUUGCAAGUAAUAGACCACAAUGACAAUAGUGCACAGAGGAACAAGGUGAGCAGAGAGUGUAAGCAGCAGAGAAAAUAACAGCAGUAUGAGAACAACAGCAGCAACAGACCCAAGUAAACAAACAAUAGAACCCAGUAGUGUAGAAGUAAUCACGCCAGGCUACUCAAUCUUGGCUUUCAGCCGAAUGAGUGUUCAAAUAAGAGAGUAAGAGAGUAUAGCAGAGAAAGAGAGAAUUCAUAGAAUCUGAAGUUGUGCGAAAUAUGCGGUGUGUGUUGGUGUGUUCAAGAAAAGGUGAGGAAUAUUUAUAGUUUUUGAAAAUAACAGGGAAUAGGGUAGGGAGUAUUUAAUUAUAGAAAUAGUACAAAAUUGAAUCAAUCAUAGGUCCUAAUUCAAAUUAAUCUGGGAUUCAUGAUUCUAAUGGGAAUACAGCUAUAUCAUAUAAGGAAAGAAUCAAUCAGACGACUAAUUACACCAUAGCAAAGUAGUAGGCUUGUAGUAUGUAAUAGAGGCCAAAUACAUAAUACUCGAAUAAGAACAACAUAUAUUGAAUAUUGUAAAAAUAUUUAAGACCACAAAUAUGGUAAGAAUACAAAAUUAACUCUGAAAUUAGUCAAAGAAUCACGGACGAGACUAAAAUCAGAAUGAAUUAGUGCUAAUUAUAGAGAGAAUUUCAAAAGCAAUGAAAUAAUUCAAGAAAUAAUGUGUAAGAACCAAUAAGGAAAACGCAUACAUAUUAGGGAUUCAAAGAUAUGCACAUAAUCAUUCGAAUAACAAUUAGACCUAUAAAUACAAUAGGCAUGGAAAAUCAGAGAACAUUGUGCAAGAAAUCAUAGAAGAGUAGAGGGUUGGAACCCUAGUAAAAAAGAUUAAAGCAUGGAACUCAGAAACAAACAUGCUCGUAACAAAAAACAAACAUAUAAGACAUGCAUACAUAAUACUCAAAGGAAGCAGAAUAUGUAGUGAUCUUGAAGGGGGUCGGAAACCCUAGCAAGAAAAAAUUAAAGCAUGGACCCAGGUUAACAAGGACACCAAACAAACAAGUAAAACAGAUAAACACAAACGAACAUAUAGCACUCAGAAAGAGCAGAAGAAAUGAUUUUGAAGAAGGGGGUCAGAAACCCUAAUUUGAAAUAGUAGUAACCAUCUGAAAUUUGAAUUAACCGGUAACACUAAGUAAAACAAUAGAGUAGAAAACAAAAUCAAACUGAGAGUUGUUUUAAAAAAAGCAGAGAUUAAAGAGGUUCGAGUAGAAAAAUUAGGGUUUGCAAACAAUUAGGGAAAACAAAGAACCUCGCCGUGAAACUCGUAUAUAAUGCCAUAAAAGGAAUUAUCGGACAAAAACCACCGAAGAAAAGCCGGAAACAUACCCAAGUGAAGCUUCAGUGACCGUCUUUCAUGGCGGAAACUGCUGGGCUUCAAGCUUUAGAGAGAAAACAACGACAUAAGGAUUCCAUGGCUACUAGAGGUCAAGAGAAAUGAGGGAGGAGUAUGACCGGAGAGGCGAUGACUUUCAUCAAAGAAGAAGGAACUAGAAGGUCCUAGAGAAAAGGGAAAGCAUUUGUUAGAGAGAGAGAGAGAGAGAGACGGUCUAAGUGAAUGAGGGUUUGGGAAGGGAAGGUUAGAUUUAAUUAAGGGAACAUAAUCUGGGCCGUUGAUCUCAAUUGAUCAACGGCUCAUAUCAAGUCAAAGGUGGACCGGAUAAAAAAUUGACGGGUAUGGGUUAUUAAAUUGGGUUAAAAUUGGGCUGAAAUGGGGGGUGGAAUUGGGCUAUAAUUUAAAUAAAAU